Molecule: ribosomal RNA, 283 nt
Filed under: uncultured Enterobacter sp.
Lineage: Bacteria; Pseudomonadati; Pseudomonadota; Gammaproteobacteria; Enterobacterales; Enterobacteriaceae
Description: partial 16S ribosomal RNA
Rfam family: Bacterial small subunit ribosomal RNA
Source: RNAcentral
UGGGGAAUAUUGCACAAUGGGCGCAAGCCUGAUGCAGCCAUGCCGCGUGUAUGAAGAAGGCCUUCGGGUUGUAAAGUACUUUCAGCGAGGAGGAAGGCGUUAAGGUUAAUAACCUUAGCGAUUGACGUUACUCGCAGAAGAAGCACCGGCUAACUCCGUGCCAGCAGCCGCGGUAAUACGGAGGGUGCAAGCGUUAAUCGGAAUUACUGGGCGUAAAGCGCACGCAGGCGGUCUGUCAAGUCGGAUGUGAAAUCCCCGGGCUCAACCUGGGAACUGCAUUCGA